Molecule: ribosomal RNA, 253 nt
Filed under: uncultured bacterium
Lineage: Bacteria
Description: partial 16S ribosomal RNA
Rfam family: Bacterial small subunit ribosomal RNA
Source: RNAcentral
UACAGAGGUCCCAAGCGUUGUUCGGAUUCACUGGGCGUAAAGGGUGCGUAGGUGGUGAGGUAAGUCGGAUGUGAAAGCUCGGAGCUCAACUCCGAAAUGGCAUUGGAAACUACCUUGCUCGAGGGUUGGAGGGGGGACUGGAAUUCUCGGUGUAGCAGUGAAAUGCGUAGAUAUCGAGAGGAACACCAGUGGCGAAGGCGAGUCCCUGGACAACUCCUGACACUGAGGCACGAAAGCUAGGGGAGCGAACGGG